UACGUAGGGUGCAAGCGUUGUCCGGAAUUAUUGGGCGUAAAGAGCUCGUAGGCGGUCUGUCGCGUCGGCUGUGAAAACUCGGGGCUUAACCCCGGGCCUGCAGUGGGUACGGGCAGACUAGAGUGCGGUAGGGGAGACUGGAAUUCCUGGUGUAGCGGUGAAAUGCGCAGAUAUCAGGAGGAACACCGGUGGCGAAGGCGGGUCUCUGGGCCGUAACUGACGCUGAGGAGCGAAAGCAUGGGUAGCGAACAGG
Molecule: ribosomal RNA, 253 nt
Filed under: uncultured bacterium
Lineage: Bacteria
Description: partial 16S ribosomal RNA
Rfam family: Bacterial small subunit ribosomal RNA
Source: RNAcentral